CGUGCAGGCGGUUUCGUAAGUCGGACGUGAAAGCUCCUGGCUUAACUGGGAGAGGCCGUUCGAUACUGCGGGACUUGAGGUUGGGAGAGGGACGUGGAAUUCCCGGUGUAGUGGUGGAAUGCGUAGAUAUCGGGAGGAACACCAGUGGCGAAGGCGGCGUCCUGGCCCACACCUGACGCUGAGACGCGAAAGCGUGGGUAGCGAACG
This 207-nucleotide ribosomal RNA is filed under the name uncultured bacterium. RNAcentral's name for it is "partial 16S ribosomal RNA". It matches the Rfam family "Bacterial small subunit ribosomal RNA", at positions 568 to 774 of the family's 1533-position model. The record is from RNAcentral.